UACAGAGGUCUCAAGCGUUGUUCGGAUUCAUUGGGCGUAAAGGGUGCGUAGGCGGCGCGGUAAGUCGGGUGUGAAAUCUCGGGGCUUAACUCCGAAACUGCAUUCGAUACUGCCGUGCUUGAGGACUGGAGAGGAGACUGGAAUUUACGGUGUAGCGGUGAAAUGCGUAGAUAUCGUAAGGAAGACCAGUGGCGAAGGCGGGUCUCUGGGCCAUUACUGACGCUGAGGAGCGAAAGCGUGGGGAGCGAACAGG
This 253-nucleotide ribosomal RNA is filed under the name uncultured bacterium. RNAcentral's name for it is "partial 16S ribosomal RNA". It matches the Rfam family "Bacterial small subunit ribosomal RNA", at positions 524 to 776 of the family's 1533-position model. The record is from RNAcentral.